GUGGGGAAUAUUGGACAAUGGGCGAAAGCCUGAUCCAGCAAUGCCGCGUGAGUGAUGAAGGCCCUAGGGUUGUAAAAUUCUUUCACCGGGGACGAUAAUGACGGUACCCGGAGAAGAAGCCCCGGCUAACUUCGUGCCAGCAGCCGCGGUAAUACGAAGGGGGCUAGCGUUGCUCGGAAUUACUGGGCGUAAAGGGCGCGUAGGCGGACAGUUUAGUCAGAGGUGAAAGCCCAGGGCUCAACCUUGGAAUUGCCUUUGAUACUGGCUGUCUUGAGUACGGGAGAGGGGAGUGGAACUCCGAGUGUAGAGGUGAAAUUCGUAGAUAUUCGGAAGAACACCAGUGGCGAAGGCGACUCACUGGCCCGUUACUGACGCUGAGGCGCGAAAGCGUGGGGAGCAAACAGGAUUAGAAACCCGAGUAGUCC
This 425-nucleotide ribosomal RNA is filed under the name uncultured bacterium. Its description in RNAcentral is "partial 16S ribosomal RNA". It matches the Rfam family "Bacterial small subunit ribosomal RNA", at positions 354 to 796 of the family's 1533-position model. The record is from RNAcentral.